Non-coding RNA from Meleagris gallopavo (turkey), 489 nucleotides. Lineage: Eukaryota; Metazoa; Chordata; Aves; Galliformes; Phasianidae. The record is from RefSeq and is a predicted model, not a curated record.
CAUCUACCUACCACCAAUAUUGCCCACUAAACCAUGUCCCCAGGCUGCUGUGAAUUUCCAGUACUAACUGAUGCCCCCUGUCUGGGCUUUGGUCACUGCCUGAACAGUGAUGGCAUCAUGCCUUACACACAUUUCCAAGCUGCUCCACAGUGCUCCCCUGCCCCUAAGUGAAGGCAAAGAAUUUCCAGGUGCUAUCCCAGCCCCAUACCCACAUCAUCUGCCUGGGGAAAAGAAAUCCCCUUUCCUAGCUGGGACAUCUCUGUUUACAAGUCUGCCAAGCUCCUAAGAACUGCAGCUCUCGGAGGACCACUACAGAGAAAAUGAACCCAGACUUCUCUGAGGUGUGCAGCAAAAGGACAAGAGAUGCCUUGAUGCAACAUUGAAGCUGGCCCUGCUUUGUGAGACUUCUGGAGGUCUCUGCCAACUCCAUCACCAAAAGUCAAAAUAAAUCAGCUGUCUCUGCAUAAGAGCAUCAGCUCUUAAAAAAUG